CGACAUUGAACAGCAGCCUUCCAUGGCAGC
RNAcentral lists this small RNA (30 nucleotides) under Bombyx mori (domestic silkworm). RNAcentral describes it as "ovarian small RNA-14168". Lineage: Eukaryota; Metazoa; Arthropoda; Insecta; Lepidoptera; Bombycidae. The record is from RNAcentral.